CGAGACGUCCAGUCCGUCAGUUUUUGGGGCCUUUUGUGGAGGGAAACUGACUGUCAUGUCUUUUGUUUCACGUUUGACAGUUUGUUAAUAUUUUCUUAAUGACUUCCAGUAUAGCCAUUUAGGCUAAAACGCUUACAUCCCAUUACUUGUAGCAGCUUUCCUUGAAUAAUGCUCCAGUUUUUGUAUGGUACUUUGGGAAGAGAUAUUGCUCUCGAAAACCCUAACAUGGGUUUAUGGAUUGAUGGUUUAAUUUUUUUUUCAGCAUUCCCUUUAAAUUAUGGCCAAUAUUGCUGUUGUAGUAGUAUAAGAAGCAUUUUACUCCAGAAUCGCAGUGGGCUCUCUCCUCCUAAGCAAAUGUAGAUCCGGUUUGUUUUGGCAAUUGGAACCUUCUGGCUCCCUAACCACAGUCAAGAUCACGGACGAGCACAAUGCCGGUUUAUUUUUUGCCACCAAACAUUCAUUAUCCUUGCCUGUUCAAGUUCCCGCGGGAAUACCCGACUUUCCUUCUAGGAUUGUCCAGCUUGGUUGCGUUUGCCUUGUACAUCUAUAUCAUGGGCAUUAUUGGGUUCUGUAUUGGCAUUUCAGUGGUCAAAGAUGUUGCAGUAGAUUCCUUUGCCCUGAUCGUUGCUAAAGAGGAUGGGCAGGAAUUAGAACAUGAAGAUGAGAAAGAGGAGACAUCCAUCGAGCAACCAUCUCUUGUCAUGCUUUAUUGAUCAAGCAACUCUCAAGGCUGUAGGCAGUCAAAGAAGAAUUGGUGAAGAAAUUUGAGAAAGAUUAAUCGGAUGGGUUGAUGGUACCUUCCUCUUCAAGGAGUUUUGGAGUUAAAUACUGAUGGUUUUUCUAGGGGAAUCUUGGUCAUGUUGGUAUUGGUGGUGUAGGGCGCGAUAGCUCUGGUGUUGUCCAAUUUAUCUUUUCAAUUUGUAAAAGAUUUAAUAUGAAUAAUUACAUGGAGGCUCUUGCGAUUUUGUAUACCAUGAAAAGAGGUUGUGCUCUUGACUGGAAAAGGAUUAUUUGUGAAUCUGAUUCACAAAUGGUGGUGACUCUGCUGAGUGGGCAGCGGUUUGAUGAUGUCAAUUGGCACUUAGCCUUUGUUAUUAGAUAGAUUCUAAGGUUGUGCAAUUCUUUGGAAUCUGUUACUUUUACUCACAUUCCUAGGGAGUGGAAUAGCGUAGCAGUCUGGCCGACAAAAUGGACUUCUGAUCAAAUGCAAGGUUGGAAUAUCAUGGAUAGGGGACAAUUAUCUUUGGAAUUGUCUCAUAUGUUGGAGCAGCUAGUUGAUGAAAAUAAAGUUUUUUAAUGUUUUGUUCU
This is a long non-coding RNA of Cryptomeria japonica (Japanese cedar), 1308 nucleotides long. RefSeq lists it as uncharacterized. The record is from RefSeq and is a predicted model, not a curated record. Lineage: Eukaryota; Viridiplantae; Streptophyta; Pinopsida; Cupressales; Cupressaceae. The transcript is spliced from 3 exons.